CCUUUUCAAGAAGGAAAGAUGUCUGUAAUAUGCAACACUGGUUUUUGUAUGUUUGUUGUUUUUUAACCACAGCAGACAUCACCAUUUAAUAAUUUUCAUAUUUAUUUCCCAUCCACCAGCUUAAGUUCUUUUGGUUGCUGCAAAUUACCUAAAGAGGGAGAUGGAGGGUCUGCAUUAUCAUUAGCACAAGCAGCUGGCAAUCCAAGGUCAGAUCAUUGCUGUGCAGUAUGUGGCAUGGCCAGAGGAGGCACUGUCAGACCAGUUAGGCUUUAUUGAUUGCUUUACUGUGGGUUAUACAAUGAAUUUAAGGAGGAUCUUUUGGUCAGCUGUCCUGCCAAAAUCUAAAUUUUAACAGUCUUGAUGAAAAUAACCAAUUAUGUGACAUUUUAUCAGGUAACAAUAAUGUAAGUGCCAAAGCCUGCCACCUUAUCCUCCAACGGAUACUUUAUUUUUAUAAGAGCCUAAUUGUCCCUUUAGCCGCUAAACUUUAUGCAUAAAUGUGUAUAGGUUAUGUAAGGCAUUAUAUAUUACGCCUGUACCAUGUUUGCCGAUGAUUGUUUUUAGUGUUUCAAAACUCAGUUUGAGUGGUCCACAAUGUUUAAAAAAAAUUUUUUUUUAUUAUAGUAUCAUUGUGGAGUGACACGUCAAUACAUUUUUCUAACUCUAGAUACACUGAGUACACAAAAAACUAAGAACACAUGCUCUGUCCAUGACAGACUGACCAGGUGAAUGCAAUGAUCCCUUAUUGAUGUCACUUCUUAAAUCCACUUCAAUCAAUGUAUAGGAAGCGGUGGUUAAAAAAAUAUUUUUAAGCUUUGAGACAUUUUAUUUUUAACCCUUAUUUUACCAGGUAAGUUGACUGAGAACACAUUCUCAUUUACAGCAACGACCUGGAGAAUAGUUACAGGGGAGAUAAAUGAGCCAAUUAGAAGCUGGGGAUGAUUUGGUGGCCAUGAUGGUAUGAAGGCCAGAUUGGGAAUUUAGCCAGGACACCAGGGUUAACGCCUCUACUCUUACUUUUAUUUUUAUUUUUUAUUUCACCUUUAUUUAACCAAGUAGGCUAGUUGAGAACAAGUUCUCAUUUACAACUGCGACCUGGCCAAGAUAAAGCAAAGCAGUGCGACAGAAACAACACAGAGUUGCACAUGGAAUAAACAAGUCAAUAACACAGUAGGGGGGGGAAAUGAGUCUAUAUACAUUGUGUGCAAAAGGCAUGAGGAGGUAGGCAAUAAAUAGGCCAUAGGAGCGAAUAAUUACAAUUUAGCAGAUGGAGUGAUAAAUCAUCAGAUGAUCAUGUACAAGUAGAGAUACUGGUGUGCAAAAGAGCAGAAAAGUAAAUAAAUAAAAACAGUAAGGGGAUGAGGUAGGUAAAUUGGGUGGGCUGUUUACAGAUGGACUAUGUACAGCUGCAGCGAUCGGUUAGCUGCUCAGAUAGCAGAUGUUUAAAGUUGGUGAGGGAAAUAAAAGUCUCCAACUUCAGCGAUUUUUGCAAUUCGUUCCAGUCACAGGCAGCAGAGAACUGGAAGGAAAGGCGGCCAAAUGAGGUGUUGGCUUUUGGGAUGAUCAGUGAGAUAUACCUGCUGGAGCGCGUGCUACGGGUGGGUGUUGUUAUCGGGAUCAGUGAACUGAGAUAAGGCAGAGCUUUACCUAGCAUGGACUUAUAGAUGACCUGGAGCCAGUGGGUCUGGCGACGAAUAUGUAGCGAGGGCCAGCCGACUAGAGCAUACAGGUCGCAGUGGUGGGUGGUAUAAGGUGUUUUAGUAACAAAACGGAUGGCGCUAUGAUAAACUGCAUCUGGUUUGCUUAGUAGAGUAUUGGAAGCUAUUUUGUAGAUGACAUCGCCGAAGUCGAGGAUCGGUAGGAUAGUCAGUUUUACAAGGGUAAGUUUGGCAGCGUGAGUGAAGGAGGCUUUGUUGCGAAAUAGAAAGCCGAUUCUUGAUUUGAUUUUGGAUUGGAGAUGUUUAAUAUGAGUCUGGAAGGAGAGUUUACAGUCUAGCCAGACACCUAGGUAUUUAUAGAUGUCCACAUAUUCUAGGUCGGAACCGUCCAGGGUGGUGAUGCUAGUCGGGCGGGCGGGUGCAGGCAGUGAACGGUUGAAAAGCAUGCAUUUGGUUUUACUAGCGUUUAAGAGCAGUUGGAGGCCACGGAAGGAGUGUUGUAUGGCAUUGAAGCUCGUUUGGAGGUUAGAUAGCACAGUGUCCAAGGAAGGGACAGAAGUAUACAGAAUGGUGUCGUCUGCGCAGAGGUGGAUCAGGGAAUCGCCCGCAGCAAGAGCAACAUCAUUGAUGUAUACAGAGAAAAGAGUCGGCCCGAGAAUUGAACCCUGUGGUUCCCCCAUAGAGAUUGCCAGAGGACCGGACAACAUGCCCUCCGAUUUGACACACUGAACUCUGUCUGCAAAGUAGUUGGUGAACCAGGCGAGGCAGUCAUUAGAAAAACCAAGGCUACUGAGUCUGCCGAUAAGAAUAUGGUGAUUGACAGAGUCGAAAGCCUUGGCCAGGUCGAUGAAGACGGCUGCACAGUACUGUCUUUUAUCGAUGGCGGUUAUGAUAUCAUUUAGUACCUUGAGCGUGGCUGAGGUGCACCUGUGACCGGCUCGGAAACCGGAUUGCACAGCGGAGAAGGUACGGUGGGAUUCGAGAUGGUCAGUGAUCUGUUUAUUAACUUGGCUUUCGAAGACCUUAGAUAGGCAGGGCAGGAUGGAUAUAGGUCUGUACCAGUUUGGGUCCAGGGUGUCUCCCCCUUUGAAGAGGGGGAUGACCACGGCAGCUUUCCAAUAAGUGCCAUGGGAUCUUUAGUGACCACAGAGAGUCAGGACACCCAUUUAACGUCCCACCUGAAAGACGGCAUCCUACUCAGGGCAGUGUCCCUAAUCACUGCCCUGGGGCAUUGGGAUAUUUGUUGUUUGUUUUUUUGACCAAAGGAAAGAGUGCCUCCUUCCAGCAGCAUCUGGCAAGCCAUUAGGGUGGUGUGCUGUGCAUGUGUGCCAUUCAGGGGGGUGAAUGGGCAAGACAAAAGAUAUAAGUGCCUUUGAACGGGGUAUGGAAGUAGGUGCCAGGCACACCGGUUUGUGUCAAGAACUGCAACACUGGUGGGUUUUUCACGCUCAACAGUUUCCCAUGUUUAUCAAGAAUGGUCCACUACCUAAUGGACUUCAAGCCAACUUAACACAACUGGAGUUAACAUGGGCCAGCAUCCCUGUGGAAUGGUUUUGACGCCUUGUAGAGUUGUGCACCUCAAUAUUAGGAAGGUGUUCCUAAUGUUUGCUAUACUCAGUGUAUAUAACACAUUUCAUGUUUUUUUAACACACUAAUUCUCUUUUUCUAAAGUCGGUGCAUUGUUUUUUUUUACAAGAACAGGACAGGAUACAUUGAAAGACAAAAAAAAUAACUGUUACCUGUACAGGAAUGAUUUGCUGUUGGUAAGUCAAGUUUAGAAUACUAUUCAGUCUGUGUGUGAGACUGUUGUGGCUGUACCUAACCCACACAGUGAUCAGAAAACUGUAGACGUAACUGAAACACAGGGAAACAGCGCCCUCUGGUGUGCAAAGCUCAGCAGACGGAAAACAACCCAAGUGAGGUGAGUUUCAAAACACAGGUGGGCUAUAAAACAUUACUAAACAUUUAAAAUUGUACUUGUAACUCCCUUUUACUACGGCAUUUGAAAUUUUAUUCGUAUAUUUUACAUUGUCAUGAUGACGUCACUUGCGUGUUUUAGAAUAAUUGUAUUUUGUCUUUUAGAGUGAUAAAGCAAUGCUACAUCACUCGGGCCAGGAUGCAAGAGAAAAGGUACUGGAUCAACUUCUAUCUGCCAUAAUCAGUUCUCUAUGCCCAUCAGGGACCCACCCAGUAGCUCAGGUUAUGAGAGCUUUGUCUGUUCACAGAGAAGCUGGCCGUGGCUUUACAGCAGCAUACCACCCUGCAUACCACUGCUGGCUUGCUUCUGAAGCUAAGCAGGGUUGGUCCUGGUCAGUCCCUGGAUGGGAGACCAGAUGCUGCUGGAAGUGGUGUUGGAGGGCCAGUAGGAGGCACUCUUUCCUCUGGUCUAAAAAAAUAUCCCAAUGCCCCAGGGCAGUGAUUGGGGACACUGCCCAGUGUAGGGUGCUGUCUUUCGGAUGGGACGUUAAACCGGUGUCCUGACUCUCUGAGGUCAUUAAAGAUCCCAUGGCACUUAUCGUAAGAGUAGGGGUGUUAACCCCGGUGUCCUGGCUAAAUUCCCAAUCUGGCCCUCAAACCAUCAUGGUCACCUAAUAAUCCCCAGUUUACAAUUGGCUCAUUCAUCCCCCUCCUCUCCCCUGUAACUAUUCCCCAGGUCGUUGCUGCAAAUGAGAACGUGUUCUCAGUCAACUUACCUGGUAAAAUAACGGUAAAAUAAAAAAUAAAAUAAAUAAAAAGAAUAGGAGCAUGUGGAGCUGGAAGAGAGAGUGAUUCUGAAUCAGAGGAAGAAGUUGGUCCACUAGAUAGAAACCCAGACCAAACCAGAGCCAGUGGACAACAAAGUCCAUCAGGUAUAAGAGUGCUGAGCCACAUGAACAUACUAUCUCAACAUUUAUCUGUGGCCUAGCUUCUAUUACUCUGUUUAUGAACUAAGCAUGGCAAGCCUGAGAAAUUAACUAUGCUGUCUGUCUGGAACCAUGGAAACUGCUUGCCAUUAAUGAGGGGUGUUGCAACAAGGCUAGUGACACUGAUAUGCCUACUAUAUUUUGUUUCUAAGAUAUUCCACAGAGUGACGGCGCUCCAAGAGAGAGUGGUUACGGACUGUGAUGGAUUUUUUUUAAAGCAGCUCGUGGCUGAAGCAGAGACGAGAAGUGUCAGAAUAUUUGGGUCAAUGACGAAUAAGAUUUUCAAAAACAAUUUAAAAGGGAAAAAAUAUUAAUUUCGAAACACUUUUUAUGUUCCCUUGAGUGUUACCUACAAUGUGUUUGCACAUUCAGGAUUUGUCGCUUUUUAUGCAAGUUAAAUUUACUUCCUAAAAAAAGUCAUCCUGUCUGACCAUACAUUUUUUUUAUAUAAAAAAUGUUUUCUGACCAUUAUUUCUAGCAAAGAAGAGUAAAAUAUGAAUAUAAACAUGGUGUCCGUUAUUCAAUAUCAAAGCAGUUAAAAAUUACGGUAUAAUUUUUUUAUUUUUCACUGGACGACCCCACAUUUUGAAUGACUGUCAACUAAAACUUCUGUUAGAGAAAUUAAAACCGUAUACAAUUUUACAAAAAUGCAUUUUUCUCUUAGACUGAGCUUCUCUGCAUUUUAUUAGACAAUAUAAUAAUGUUAUUGUUUUUAACCAUUAAGUACCGAAUGAUCAUUGCUGGUUGCACCGAAUGACUAUUAUUUUACAGUGUCAUUUUUUUUAGGCAGAUCUCUUUCCCUCUUACAGAAACACACACAUACAUAAACAGUAUGGUUUCUUAUUCAACUACAAUGAUGCCUUUAGUGCUUAAUAAAUUACAAGAAAUGUGACUCAAAUGUUUAUCACGCAGAAACAUUUCAUCAUGAACAUGGCAAUGAACUUCUAAAAAUGAUAAAAAUUCUGCACUAUGAUACAUUUUUCAAACAAUGUUAAAACAGUUAAGAAUCAAUGUAAUACAUACAUAGUAAAGUUCUUGAAGUACAGUAAUGACAUUAAAACAUUAAAAUACAAAACGUUUAAGAAAGUGUUCUACAUUACAUCAAUUACUCAUUUGAUUAAAAACGAAUGAAAUUGCUCUGUGCAAUGUCUUGUAAAAACAUUAUUGUAACAUUAAAACAUCCACAGAUAUGUUUAAGUUUGUGCAGAACAGUGCAAGAUUAAAACAAUUAUAAAUGUGAUAGCAAUUCAUGAGGUUCAACCAUUAAAUACAAAUGAUUUCAUUGCAGCAAAAGUUGUAACAGAAACUCAAGUUGACAAUUAUCAAACUUGCAUUCCUCAGUUUGUUUGAUGAUGUUGCACUUAUGUGACAAGAAAGCAGCCCAGUCUGUGUCGGACAGCCGAGAUGCUCUUAAGCUCAAGGGCUUGGGCUCACUGAUCAUUGCCUUCACAUCUCUUUCAUAGUACAAGGUAAUGUCUGGCACAGAUGACCAGACAAAAACAUUCCUCACUCCAUACUGCUGCAUAGAAGUGAUCAGCACUUCCUCCCCAAUCACCUUCAGUACCUGGCCUACAAAGGGGCGGUAGCGGUAAGUGAGUAAAAUCACUGAGAAAGCCAAGCCAGUAAAAAAGUCAUAUUAUAACCUAUGUUGUGAUAAUUAGGUUGUUUGCUCAAACCCAUUCGUUCAUUCGCCACCGUGAUAUACAAUAAGGCCGUGACAACAAAAAGACAACAGUCACGGAAUAAAUUCAACUACACAUACGUUUCAUCACAAAACUGGAGAGCAAUAUCUGUGGUGAAGGCCACAAAGCAAAUAUUGCAUACAAACAGUUAUUUUUAUUAUUUUAUUUAAUCAGGCAAGUCAGUUAAGAACAAAUUCUUAUUUGCAAUGACAGCCUACCCAGGAAUAGUGGGUUAAAUGCCUUGUUCUCACGUAAACAUGUUUUACAGGCAACUGCUUGUGCACCCAUGUGAGAACUUGACUUUUACCUUUAAGUAUGCAUCUUGAGUAUCAAAAUAAAAUACAAGCUUUUCAGAUAAUUCAAAAUUUGUAUUGUUUUUUAGCAUUUUCUGGGGGGGUAAAACCUGACAGGGAGUGGAAAUGUGAACUUAUUAAACAUUUACGAGCAACUUCCUAACAUUCCUUCUUAAUCUAAGGCUGCCUCACAGGCAUCUUAAUGAUGUCACAUAUUGUCACUAGUAUCAUCAUGUGAUUUGAUCCAAAAUGGUGACUUCAUGUCAGUUGCACCGAAUGAUAAUCAUGAAGGCUAAUUUUCCGGACAAAAGUAUUUCAAGUAUUUAAAACCUUUCUGCCUAAACUGUCUUACCCAUAUAAAAGUGUAGUGCAGUAGACCAUUAGAAAUUCAUGCCAGAAUAAUCUUUUGACAGUUUUGUUAUGAUUUAAGAUGUUUUAUUAACACUUAUAUAGAUUGUAUUUCGUUUUUGGACAGGUGCACAGAAUGAAUAAGUGAAAAAAAAAUCACAUCUAACCAUUAACUCUUUUAGGACAAAGUAAAAGAGAAAGAGCAUAGUUUCCUAACAUAAAAUGUGUAUAUAUUGGUUGUUGAUUUUGGGAAAAUAUUUCAUUCGGACACCAAAAUAUGCACAUCAAGCCAUUGACACAUUUACAUUCUAGUUGUGUUAACCCAGAGUGCCUUUCUCAGAUAUUCAGAUUUGUCGACAAGACCCUUCUGCUGCAGCAGAGUAACCUCCAUGCUGCCAGGUGGAUGCUAGAGCAAACCACAGACACAUUCUCACCAGUAGCCUGCAAAGGAUACUAUAAGACCACAAUAUUUGUUGAUGGCCAUCAAUGCUGCUUUUGUUCCUGUGAUGCCAUCUGGGGACUGCAGGUCCUUAGGUCUGUCUCAAGACCCCCAUGACAACACACUUCUGUCUUGCCUGUCUGCAGGCUUCCUCUGACCUCUCGCAGACCCCCUGAGCCUGAGUGAAGCUGCUCUCCCUGAACCCGGUAACACACCGGGAAGAGGGGGACAGGAGGGGAGGAUAAAGACACACCCCUGGGAGCCAGUCAUGGGGCACUGCUUUUAGCUGAGGCGGAAGACCCUGGCUAUUUUCAAGCCGACAACUAUUCGUGGUUCAUGACCUGCUCACAAGCAUAUUUACAAUAUCAAAUUUCCUAAUGUUGACCUUCAAGUGGGGCUUUCAACUUUAAAACUCGAGUCCACUUAAGAGAGCAGUUAUGGCAAAUAUGCUGUCCAGUCCUGAGGUUAGACUGAGUAUUGAUUACAUGGUACAGUGUAGGGUCAAAUCAAACAUGAUUUUCAUGGUACAUUCUGUCUACACAUAAUAUUAAGCAUCGAUUCAUUAAUUAUGUAAAAUGUAGACACUAUUCAGGAGGGCUGUAUGCAUAAUGUUUCUACAACUUAAAGUAACUGUCCAGUGUUUCCAGAUUUCUAUGAAAUAUGACAUAUAAUUAAUUACAAUAAGAGUAGAAUAGUUUUCCUUCCAAAAAAAGUGUAAUAAAGGAUGUUAAAAAGCAGAUUUUAUGUAUUAGAAUGGUGUUGGCGUACCCCAACAACAGAAUGGUGUGGGUGUAUAGCGGUCAUUAAAAAUACUAAUGCGAGUAGACCACUGAUUGGCCAGCUCAUCCUCCACAGGAGGAUGACAUCAUCCUCUGAGGAAAUGGCAAGCAUUUUUGAAACGGUCUGUUUGAGAUACAAGGUUGAGGUGGGGUUUUUGAGGUGUUUUUUUCUCCCUUUGGCCACAUAUGAGUAUAGGAUGCGUCAACAACGUUAUUUGGGUAUGGAGUUAACAGUUGAUCAACUUUUAAAAGUGAGAUUUUAACUGGACAGUUACUUUAAAUAUUUUUUUAUUUGUGUAUGCUGGUUUUUCUAUUUUGUUCUUUCAGAAGAGAUUUUGUCAACUGCUGCGGAGCUGAAAGACACUAAUUUUGUGUGUAUCCCUGACCUCUGUCAUCUGGGAGGAGAGAAAGAAGAGGUUCUCAUCACCAAGGUGUAUAGAAUGACAGAUAUCGCUUUGGAUAAUAUAUUGGACCACAAUAUGUAUGAAAUGAAUUUGUUGUUUGUUAACAUGAUUAGGCAAUCACGUUUUAUUGUUAAAUUCUGGAAAUAUUUUUGUAGAUAUUGUUUGUGGCAAUUUUCUGUUUUUUUAAACUGGGGGUUUGAGUAUCUGGAGAAAAAGGAAAACUUUUGGUUUUUGUUUCAUUAGUCCAUUGCUGAUAUAGUCCCAAAAUGUUUUGUAUUUGUAUUUAUUAUGGAUCCUUAUUAGCUGCUGCCAAUGAAGCAGCUACUCUUCCUGGGGUCCAGCAACAUUAAGAGAUUUAUAUACAGUUAAAAAUAUUACACUUCAUUUCAUUUACCCAAUACAUUUAGUGUGUUCCCAAAUACAAUGCUCUUAUUUUUUUAUUUUUUGGGGAACUAAUUUAUUCAUUGCCACCAGUUCUGAAACACUAACUGCAGCUCUUUGUUAAGUGUUGCAGUGAUUUCACUCACUGUAGUAGCUGAUGUGUAUAGUGUUGAGUCAUCCACAUUCAUAGCCACACUGGCUUUACUCAAGGCCAGUGGCAUGUCAGUAGUAAAUAUUGAAAAAGCAAGGGGCCUAGACAGCUGCCCAGGGGAAUUCCUGAUUCUACCUGGAUUAUGUUGGAGGCUUCCUUUAAAGAACACUCUCUGUGUUCUGUUUGACAGGUAACUCUUUAUCUACAAUAUAGCAGGGGGUGUAAAGCCAUAACACAUACGUUUUUCCAUCAGCAGAUAAUGUCAAAACAGCUCCCCCAAUCUUUUUAUCAUCAAUUUCUCUCAGUCAAUCAUCAGUCAUUUGUGUAAGUGCUGUGCUUGUUGAAUGUCCUCCCCUAUAAGCGUGCUGAAAGUCUCUUCAAUUUGUUUACAGUGAAAUAGCAUUGUAUCUGGUCAAACACCAUUUUUUCCAAAGGCUAUUUGAGCCAGUCAAGGGGGCUUUACUAUUCUUGGGUAGCGGUAUUACUUUUGCUUCCCUCCAGGCCAGAGGGCACACAUUUUCUAGUAGGCUUAGAUUGAAGAUAUGGCAAAGAGGAGUGGCAAUAUUUUCCGCUAUUAUCCUCAGUAAUUUUCCACCCAAGUUGUCAGACCCCGGUAGGGAAUUCAAAAUGUACAAUGCUUGUCUUUCAUAAUUUGAUCAGUUAUACUGGUGUAGUGUCAGCAUUUGUUGCUGACAUGUCAUGCCUAAGUUUGCUAAUAUUGCCAAUGAAAAAAUCAUAAAAGUAAUUGGAAAUA
This is a long non-coding RNA of Salvelinus fontinalis (brook trout), 9792 nucleotides long. RefSeq lists it as uncharacterized. The record is from RefSeq and is a predicted model, not a curated record. The transcript is spliced from 2 exons. NCBI's taxonomy places the organism in Eukaryota, Metazoa, Chordata, Actinopteri, Salmoniformes, Salmonidae.